This 159-nucleotide microRNA precursor is filed under the name Sorghum bicolor (sorghum). RNAcentral describes it as "pre miRNA MIR2118". It matches the Rfam family "MIR2118 microRNA precursor family". Lineage: Eukaryota; Viridiplantae; Streptophyta; Magnoliopsida; Poales; Poaceae. The record is from Rfam by way of RNAcentral.
GUCAGGAAGAGGAAGAAAGGAGAGCCUAAGAGUAGUGGGAGUGGGAACAUUAUGGAAAGCCAACAUGUUUGUUUCCUCUAACCAUGAUGGAGUCUAAUGUGCUUUCCGAUGCCUCCCAUUCCUAUUAUUCUUAAGCACUCCUUCCUCUUCCUUUUUGGC